RNAcentral lists this ribosomal RNA (547 nucleotides) under uncultured bacterium. RNAcentral describes it as "bacterial SSU rRNA". It matches the Rfam family "Bacterial small subunit ribosomal RNA", at positions 355 to 896 of the family's 1533-position model. The record is from RNAcentral.
UGGGGAAUAUUGCGCAAUGGGGGGAACCCUGACGCAGCCAUGCCGCGUGAAUGAAGAAGGCCUUAGGGUUGUAAAGUUCUUUCGGUAUUGAGGAAGGUUGAUGUGUUAAUAGCACAUCAAAUUGACGUUAAAUACAGAAGAAGCACCGGCUAACUCCGUGCCAGCAGCCGCGGUAAUACGGAGGGUGCGAGCGUUAAUCGGAAUAACUGGGCGUAAAGGGCACGCAGGCGGUUAUUUAAGUGAGGUGUGAAAGCCCUGGGCUUAGCCUAGGAAUUGCAUUUCAGACUGGGUAACUAGAGUACUUUAGGGAGGGGUAGAAUUCCACGUGUAGCGGUGAAAUGCGUAGAGAUGUGGAGGAAUACCGAAGGCGAAGGCAGCCCCUUGGGAAUGUACUGACGCUCAUGUGCGAAAGCGUGGGGAGCAAACAGGAUUAGAUACCCUGGUAGUCCACGCUGUAAACGCUGUCGAUUUGGGGGUUGGGGUUUAACUCUGGCGCCCGUAGCUAACGUGAUAAAUCGACCGCCUGGGGAGUACGGCCGCAAGGUUA